Long non-coding RNA from Hirundo rustica (Barn swallow), 556 nucleotides. RefSeq lists it as uncharacterized. The transcript has 6 exons. The record is from RefSeq and is a predicted model, not a curated record. Lineage: Eukaryota; Metazoa; Chordata; Aves; Passeriformes; Hirundinidae.
CAAACGUGUCCCUCCACCUGCUCUGCUCCUGCCUGGCCUCAUUGUUCACUGGAUUGGUGUUUCUUAAAAACAUAAAUCCACUGUGGUAUCCGUCCAGCACUGGAAUGUUCUAAAUGCAGAGAUAUUACUCGACUCAUUACCAGUGUGACCUUUCAGCAUUCCCUAUUCAGCAGGGGACAAAUCCCACGGUACUUUGUGUACAUAUUAUUGUGAAUACAAUGUGUACCAUGUCCAUAUUGGAGGAAAAAAUGCAUCCAGGUCCUGCUGUUCUGUUCCUUCUUAUAGGAGGACUACUGAAAUGGAAACAAAGAUCUCUGCUGGAAAAAAGCCAUUCUCUGUAUGUUUGAAGAAACUGCUUCUGGAUCUCUUAUAGUAGUGGAGCUGCUCACAAUACCAUAGUAACAGUGCUUUGCAGUUUCACUUUUGACAGCAUUUGAUUCUCUGCCAUAGCGGAUGUGGUUAAGAGGCUUGCUUGUGAUUUUUGAUUGAGCUCUAAACAGACAACAUGCAAGAUGAGGAAUGGGAUCCAGCCAGAAGAAAGUGAUUAACAAUGAAG